CUGUGACGACGGCGUCGGUCUCAGAGCACGGCCGAAGCGUGCGGCCCGAGGACCCGGUCAUUCUUAGGAGGCGACUAGGAGACAGCAGCCCGGUGACAGCAGGAACCUCCCAGACAGCCUGGUGGCCUUGCUUUGCACCUGAUGUGGAUUCUCAUUCCUGGAGAGCCAAGAGAUAAGUUGAGGGCUGUGACUUACAGAGGGGAUGGAAGGGGGCUGCUGUGUCAGGACUCAUUAGGUGGUAUUUUUGAGUCAGCUUUGGAGCUGAGGAUAUCCAGGAAAUGUUGUCUUGAGCCCACACAAAAGCAAAGUGUCGCUUUUGAUCCCAGUGCUGAGGUGCGCAGGGCAGAGCAGUCCCGGCGUGUGUUGUGUCAUGUGGCUAUUGUGCAUUAUGUGUUGUUUAAUGUCUUUUCCCUUAGCCCUUUGAGGGGCCUAACAGAAACCCUGGCAUCAUUCUUAGCAUCUGCGAUCUCUGCAUUUCUUGGCCUGGCACCAAUGCCACAGGACUUUUGACUCAGGAGCUCAGACAGGCAUCAGAAUUGCACCUCUCUUUAGGAGCAUCCAGUCAGAUGUCUUUGCAGGUCUUGUUCUGAGCUGUAUGUACCUUGCAAGGAUCCAUUAUGGCAGAUUAGGGCUUGUAAGAAUGCAAGGAUAGGUGGAGGAUGCUGACCGUAGGAUUCUCAGACAUCCAUCUUUGUAGUUCUUGGAAUAAACCAUUGUCUUAGCAGGAUAUUCCUCCAGGGUUCUGGGAGCCUCAUCAGCUCGCCAUCAGUCUCAUCUCGGUCAUCUAAUCUUGCAUUCUCUCAGUCCUUGCAGUCAUUCUUCUUGCCAAGAGAUUCCUGUCCCUGUUGUGUCCCCCUUGUUUGUCAUGUCGUGUCCUGUGUCACGGGUGUCUGCACGUAUUUGUGCCGGAGCUGCUCUGCCCUGCUGCAUAGCCUGGUGUAAUAGGACAAAUCCUGGGGGGCUUGAAAUUUGUUGUGUGCUGUAGUUGGACUCUAGAUGAUAUUCCUAGGCUGACCCAGAUGUCUGGAGCUGUGAAGUGGUCCUGCAGCCCUUUGACAUUUUUCCUAACUUUCUUUCAGAUGCAGAUGGAUAAAAUCCAUGGCAGAGCACCCCAUCCCAGGAAGUAAAGUGAUAGAGCAACAGUCAAGUUGAAGUGGUCAAGGCAAUCUACUCAGGUUAUGCCAAGCCCCUGUCAUCAACCAGCCGAUUGACCAGGUUUGCUGGUCUCAUGAGCCCUGUGGAGGUAUUGCAGGACCCUGUGAUGAAGCCUUGAAAUUUUCUAUUUA
This is a long non-coding RNA of Passer domesticus (house sparrow), 1286 nucleotides long. RefSeq lists it as uncharacterized. The record is from RefSeq and is a predicted model, not a curated record. The transcript has 4 exons. Lineage: Eukaryota; Metazoa; Chordata; Aves; Passeriformes; Passeridae.